This 487-nucleotide ribosomal RNA is filed under the name uncultured Desulfobulbus sp. RNAcentral's name for it is "bacterial SSU rRNA". It matches the Rfam family "Bacterial small subunit ribosomal RNA", at positions 900 to 1382 of the family's 1533-position model. Lineage: Bacteria; Pseudomonadati; Thermodesulfobacteriota; Desulfobulbia; Desulfobulbales; Desulfobulbaceae. The record is from RNAcentral.
CUUAAAGGAAGUUGACGGGGCCCGCGACAAGCGGUGGAGUAUGUGGUUAAUUCGAUGCAACGCGAAGAACCUUACCUGGUCUUGACAUCCCGGAGACCCUUAGGAAACUAGGGGUGCUUCCAUCUGGAAGAAUCUGGAGACAGGUGCUGCAUGGCUGUCGUCAGCUCGUGUCGUGAGAUGUUGGGUUAAGUCCCGCAACGAGCGCAACCCUUGCCUUUAGUUGCCAGCAGUUCGGCUGGGCACUCUAAAGGGACUGCCGGUGUUAAACCGGAGGAAGGUGGGGAUGACGUCAAGUCCUCAUGGCCUUUAUGACCAGGGCUACACACGUACUACAAUGGCCGAUACAAAGGGCAGCGACACUGCGAGGUGAAGCCAAUCCCGUAAAAUCGGUCUUAGUCCGGAUUGGAGUCUGCAACUCGACUCCAUGAAGUUGGAAUCGCUAGUAAUCGUGGAUCAGCAUGCCACGGUGAAUACGUUCCCGGGCCUU